AUUGAACGCUGGCGGCAUGCUUUACACAUGCAAGUCGAACGGCAGCGCGGGCUUCGGCCUGGCGGCGAGUGGCGAACGGGUGAGUAAUAUAUCGGAACGUACCCAAGAGUGGGUAUAACGUAGCGAAAGUUACGCUAAUACCGCAUACGAUCUAAGGAUGAAAGCAGGGGAUCGCAAGACCUUGUGCUCCUGGAGCGGCCGAUAUCUGAUUAGCUAGUUGGUGGGGUAAAGGCCCACCAAGGCAACGAUCAGUAGCUGGUCUGAGAGGACGACCAGCCACACUGGAACUGAGACACGGUCCAGACUCCUACGGGAGGCAGCAGUGGGGAAUUUUGGACAAUGGGCGCAAGCCUGAUCCAGCAAUGCCGCGUGAGUGAAGAAGGCCUUCGGGUUGGUUAAAGGACUCUUUUGUUCUAGGAGAAAAGGUUAGUGGCGUAAUAUCCACAACUGCUGACGGUACCUGAAGAAUAAGACACCGGCUAACUACGUAGCCAGCAGCCG
Molecule: ribosomal RNA, 501 nt
Filed under: uncultured bacterium
Lineage: Bacteria
Description: bacterial SSU rRNA
Rfam family: Bacterial small subunit ribosomal RNA
Source: RNAcentral